AUAUGAAAUGGCACACUGCAUUUAAGGUGCUUCAUGAAAAAUGUAUUUAAAUGACCUUGGCUAAUUAGCGUGAAUAGCUUUGAGGCACUGCUGCCUGAAUGAAAGACAUUUUUAGAGUCCAGAGAUUUAAAAGGUUUCAUGACUGGAUGAGCAAAAUUUAAACCAAGGGAAAAGAGCAAACAUUAAUUUUCAUAGAAAUUAAGGUGAAUUAGAUGACCUGAUAGAACUUUUUUCAAUUUCUUGCAGGUUCUGUACUGUUCUUCUAAGCAUAUGCCUGUUACUCCUUUCAGUCUAAUUGCUAAAUUUCUUAAAUAACCAGGAUUUCAGCACUCUCAUCAGAAGAUUAUAUUAGAGUCUAAUGGAUCAGAAGCUGCUCAGUAAUUUCACAAGAUGUAAUGCUUGGGCAAUUGUUGAGCUUUGCUGCAGACUAAAAAACUUUGAACCACUUCAAAUGGAAAGAAAAAUACCAUAA
Molecule: long non-coding RNA, 472 nt
Filed under: Cyanistes caeruleus (blue tit)
Lineage: Eukaryota; Metazoa; Chordata; Aves; Passeriformes; Paridae
Description: lncRNA (ENSCCEG00000015713.1)
Source: RNAcentral